UACGAAGGGGGCUAGCGUUGUUCGGAGUUACUGGGCGUAAAGGGCGCGUAGGCGGCGCACCAAGUCAGGCGUGAAAGCCCUGGGCUCAACCCGGGAAUUGCGCUUGAGACUGGUGUGCUUGAGUACGGGAGAGGAUAGUGGAAUUCCCAGUGUAGAGGUGAAAUUCGUAGAUAUCAAGUGGAACACCAGUGGCGAAGGCGAGUCCCUGGAAAACUCCUGACACUGAGGCACGAAAGCUAGGGGAGCAAACAGG
This 253-nucleotide ribosomal RNA is filed under the name uncultured bacterium. RNAcentral's name for it is "partial 16S ribosomal RNA". It matches the Rfam family "Bacterial small subunit ribosomal RNA", at positions 524 to 776 of the family's 1533-position model. The record is from RNAcentral.